UGUUGCCGUCUCAGGCAAGAAGCCGCCGGCGAAGCCACCCUCUCUCUCUCCUUUUCCGGAGGAAAACCCAACACUGUCGAGAACCCCUCUCUUCUUCUCCUCCCAUUCUCCCUCCGCCUUUUUUUCUUCUACGUACGAUAAGGCCACAGCAACAGGAACGCCACUCCGACUAGUUGUUCCGCCGGCUAAGAAACCAGGCUAUAGCGAAGCCUCUCUCCUCCUCUCUUUUCUUUUUUUCGGCGACAGCGACCCCGACUCCAGCAAGCCAGCAGCCAGCAGAGGCCGCUCCGACCGUGAAGAGUCGGGUGGACUAGAAGCAUCAAGGCUUGGGUUUGCUAAAGAAGAAUCUAUCCCGUCCAGGAUUUUGAACAUAAAGUUCAACUAUGUCGAAGAGUUUGCAUCUGGGACGAAAUUAGUAGUAGUGUUUAGACUUUAUGUGUUAUUUUAUUUGCUUCUGUAAUAAUUUAGAGUAACCCAACUCUCUAUAUGUAUAUAAAACAAUUUGGGGGAGGGGAAUUUACG
Molecule: unclassified non-coding RNA, 522 nt
Filed under: Hevea brasiliensis (rubber tree)
Lineage: Eukaryota; Viridiplantae; Streptophyta; Magnoliopsida; Malpighiales; Euphorbiaceae
Source: RNAcentral